GCUCAGGGUAUCGGGAUCGCUCACUAUGUGGCCUUGACUCUUUAAGAAUUCCCACACCUGCUCCAAGUACCCGCCGAGCUAUGGAGGAGGCUGCCACAACAACCUCUGCUACAAAGUCCCCUCUUCUCACCAGAUUACCAUUACGAAGAUCCCAUCAUCACUAAAACGGAUGAGAUGAAUGAAGUGGAGAUUUCACAGGUUGCAGAGCAGAAGCUGGUGUGGUUCUACCCUCUGGAAAGCAAGGCCAGCAAACCCAUCAAGCCCAAGAAAGUCGUCCCAGAGUCCUACAUGAGCAAGACAGCCUCUUUUUUCCUUAACUCCUAUAAAUUUCUAUGGGAAGAGGUGUAGAAAGUGAUGAGGAGGCUCAGGGAAAAAGUAACAGGGAGGAUGUUUGAGUGGAGGGGGAGGAAAUCUGUGUGAAAAUUCAUUGUUCAUUAGAGCAGAAGCCUACCAGAAGUGGAAAGAAAAGCUUUCAAAAGCCACUCGUGCCUUCUGCAUAUAAUCUGCUAUAGUUAUUUGUUCUUUUAAGCCAUCUCAAGGAGGUAUCAAUGAACCAAAGGUCCUCUGAUCAGUAAUCAAUUUAAGAUAUAUUGGUUUUAUUUUCCAUUCACAAUGCUUCACACUCAGCAGUUUACCCUUGGCAGGUUUUCUGGGUUUUUUAGUUUGCUUCUUUCUUAUUUCUUGCUUGGGGAAGAUUUUUGAAGAUAUUUGUGGAGCUGGUAGUACUUCCUCAGUUGUUUUCUGCCUGUUGUUAAUUAAAAGAGACUUAUUGUGAAAACAAGGUGAGGGAAGCCAAUGCAUCCUUUUCAAGUUUAUCUUCCAGCAUCUCAAGAGUCUGUAAUUAAAUAGAGUAUGAGAGCUCCGGCUUGCAGACAUCAGGCUGUACAUCAAAGCCUUCAACUGUCAGAUGUUUCUUCCUUGCUAAUAUUUCCGAAGACACCUGUCUCAGGUGAAGGACUAAAGAAGCACAAACUGCUCCAGGCUAAGAUUUUAUCAUGCUGCACCAAAGACCUCCAGGAAAGAUGCAUGGUGGCUGCUCAUUUUCAUAUCUCAAGAGCAAUCUCUUUCCUUUUUAAAAUACUUCUUUAUUUUUUCUCCUCAGCACAAGUCAUAACAUGUGAAACCAAGAUAAAUGCAGAAGCUCAACAUGCAACAGGUAUUUGUGCCCAGCUGGCUACUUGUACAGUAAGGGAAAGAUCUUUGGAACAUUUUAUUAUGAAAGUUCAUCAAGCAUAUGCUGUGCUGCAAUUCAUUAUGGCAUCCUAGAUAAUAAAGGAGGACUGGUUGAUAUCACGAGGAAGGGAAGGAUACUGGCUUUUGUGAAGUCUACCUGGAAUGGUGUGGAGUCUUUUAGAUAUGACUUGCUGAGGGGGUUGGCUUGAGAAAGGACGCCUGUGGCACCGGAGCGGAGCCGGGGGAGAUCAGUG
Molecule: long non-coding RNA, 1427 nt
Organism: Melopsittacus undulatus (budgerigar)
Lineage: Eukaryota; Metazoa; Chordata; Aves; Psittaciformes; Psittaculidae
Exons: 5
Source: RefSeq, a predicted model, not a curated record